Molecule: long non-coding RNA, 1023 nt
Filed under: Olea europaea subsp. europaea
Lineage: Eukaryota; Viridiplantae; Streptophyta; Magnoliopsida; Lamiales; Oleaceae
Source: RNAcentral
NNAAAAAAAAAAAAAGAGAAAAGAAAGUCUUCAAAGAGCUGCUGUUUCCAGAAUUUAUUAUAAAUCUCAUUGCAUUUUAUUUCAGGGGGAAUUAUUCAUGCAAUGUUUAAUCCUUUCCGUUCUGCGAGUUUGAAGAAAACUACGUAGGAAAUCUGAUAAUUAUUUUGAAAAAAAAAAAAUUCUGGGUUUGGUGCAUGUUCUUAUUCAAGGUGGCGAAUCAAGGGGGUAGCGGUGAGUUUGCCAGGUUUCCGGCACCGGAUGAUACAGAAACUACAACAACCACCACUUCAGUCACAUCCACCGUCGCAGCCACUCCUCAUGUUCCGUACUACCAAAUGCAACAACAAGAACGAUCGGAUUAUCUAUUUUCCGGGCUGCAGCUGCCACCGCCGCAUCCGCCGCUAAUUUUUUCCGAGUAUGGUCAGUCCAGAGAGAGGUCAGUGAUGGUGACGGCGUUGUCGCAUGUCAUAUCAGGGCGGAGCUAACAAUUGGCCAUUUCUGCCACCCCACAACCACCUAUCGCCGUCAUGCCUCCUUCACUGACGGCGGUGUUUCCUCCAGAAUUCAUGCAAACACAGCCUUUCCAAAUCCCCGAAAACAUUUCCAGGGAUUAUUGGGAAUACUCGCAAUUACUUCAAAGCAGUGGUGAUUUUCCGAUAAAUUUGUCGGAUCAAAUGUUUUAUACUUCUGCAUCAUCUUCUGGUGGACAAUCAGUUAAUUUCCGGCCACAAGAAAAUCAAAAUAACACAAGUUUUCCUGCACCAUCAUGGACCAGUUCUAGCCAAUAUCCUCCAUCCUCUUCUUGAUAUUUAUUUUUAUUUUUCAUUGAUAUUAUCGUGUCCUUUGUACUCGAGUUUAGGUAAUUUAGGUACUUGCCUUUAGUUUGGUAUCCAUACAUUUCAUGUAUGUUAUCCAUCAAUAAAUUUCAUUUGUGCAGUUAUACUUUUAUUUCUAUUUUAUCAUGUUCGUUCGGUUGAAAAUAUUGCUAUGAAUUAUCAAUUUAUGUUGUUUACUUCUAUCUAA